UAUAGAUGUGGUGUAAACGGUUAACAUAUUUACCUCUCAAGUAAGAGAUUGUAGGUUCAACUCCUGCCAUCUAGAUC
RNAcentral lists this transfer RNA (77 nucleotides) under Dictyobacter kobayashii. RNAcentral describes it as "tRNA-Glu". It matches the Rfam family "tRNA". Rfam says of the family: Transfer RNA (tRNA) molecules are approximately 80 nucleotides in length. Their secondary structure includes four short double-helical elements and three loops (D, anti-codon, and T loops). The record is from RNAcentral. Lineage: Bacteria; Bacillati; Chloroflexota; Ktedonobacteria; Ktedonobacterales; Dictyobacteraceae.